This 598-nucleotide ribosomal RNA is filed under the name Haemophilus haemolyticus. RNAcentral describes it as "bacterial SSU rRNA". It matches the Rfam family "Bacterial small subunit ribosomal RNA", at positions 88 to 682 of the family's 1533-position model. Lineage: Bacteria; Pseudomonadati; Pseudomonadota; Gammaproteobacteria; Pasteurellales; Pasteurellaceae. The record is from RNAcentral.
CUGACGAGUGGCGGACGGGUGAGUAAUGCUUGGGAAUCUGGCUUAUGGAGGGGGAUAACUACGGGAAACUGUAGCUAAUACCGCGUAAUAUCGAAAGAUUAAAGUGCGGGACCGCAAGGCCGCAUGCCAUAAGAUGAGCCCAAGUGGGAUUAGGUAGUUGGUGGGGUAAAGGCCUACCAAGCCGACGAUCUCUAGCUGGUCUGAGAGGAUGACCAGCCACACUGGAACUGAGACACGGUCCAGACUCCUACGGGAGGCAGCAGUGGGGAAUAUUGCGCAAUGGGGGGAACCCUGACGCAGCCAUGCCGCGUGAAUGAAGAAGGCCUUCGGGUUGUAAAGUUCUUUCGGUAUUGAGGAAGGGAUGUGUGCUAACAGUACACGUCAUUGACGUUAAAUACAGAAGAAGCACCGGCUAACUCCGUGCCAGCAGCCGCGGUAAUACGGAGGGUGCGAGCGUUAAUCGGAAUAACUGGGCGUAAAGGGCACGCAGGCGGUUAUUUAAGUGAGGUGUGAAAGCCCCGGGCUUAACCUGGGAAUUGCAUUUCAGACUGGGUAACUAGAGUACUUUAGGGAGGGGUAGAAUUCCACGUGUAGCGGU